This 316-nucleotide unclassified non-coding RNA is filed under the name Hevea brasiliensis (rubber tree). The record is from RNAcentral. Lineage: Eukaryota; Viridiplantae; Streptophyta; Magnoliopsida; Malpighiales; Euphorbiaceae.
GCUUCCCUUGCUAAAACGUUUGAGGAUGAAUACCUCAAAGAAGAUAAUCUUUCUUUGCGGAACAUUACGCUAUUGCUUUCCUAUUUAUGUGUAUUUGGAGUUUGCGCCAGUGAUCUAAUCUAUGAUUUUCUCGUUAUACUGAGCAAGCGGUUGACAGAAAUUGAUGUAUCCACCAUCCUGACAGUCUUACAAUGUUGUGGAAUGAAAAUAAGGGCUGAUGAUCCCACUGCAAUGAAGAAUUUUAUUAUCAGUGUUCAAAGUAAGGUUAAUGAGCUAAAGGCAGCUUCUGGAGAUGGUCUACAAAAUAUCAAUGGAA